RNAcentral lists this ribosomal RNA (489 nucleotides) under Staphylococcus sp. RNAcentral's name for it is "bacterial SSU rRNA". It matches the Rfam family "Bacterial small subunit ribosomal RNA", at positions 387 to 867 of the family's 1533-position model. The record is from RNAcentral. Lineage: Bacteria; Bacillati; Bacillota; Bacilli; Caryophanales; Staphylococcaceae.
CGGAGCAACGCCGCGUGAGUGAUGAAGGUCUUCGGAUCGUAAAACUCUGUUAUCAGGGAAGAACAAAUGUGUAAGUAACUGUGCACAUCUUGACGGUACCUGAUCAGAAAGCCACGGCUAACUACGUGCCAGCAGCCGCGGUAAUACGUAGGUGGCAAGCGUUAUCCGGAAUUAUUGGGCGUAAAGCGCGCGUAGGCGGUUUUUUAAGUCUGAUGUGAAAGCCCACGGCUCAACCGUGGAGGGUCAUUGGAAACUGGAAAACUUGAGUGCAGAAGAGGAAAGUGGAAUUCCAUGUGUAGCGGUGAAAUGCGCAGAGAUAUGGAGGAACACCAGUGGCGAAGGCGACUUUCUGGUCUGUAACUGACGCUGAUGUGCGAAAGCGUGGGGAUCAAACAGGAUUAGAUACCCUGGUAGUCCACGCCGUAAACGAUGAGUGCUAAGUGUUAGGGGGUUUCCGCCCCUUAGUGCUGCAGCUAACGCAUUAAGCAC